GCUGCGAUCAAGUGGAAGUGUAGAGUGGAAGUUACCUGGCGGUACACACUGAGGUGAGCUGGCAAAAGAGCAUGAUGUGGUGAUUAUAAGUUUGAAACGUCCCAUUAUCAAAGCACAGCCAUCGUUAUUACUUACAGUAGGAGGAGACACGCCUCAAACAAUCGCUCAUAAGUCCAAAAUUGUAAAUUAAAAUGCGACAUUUGUUAGUAGCCAGGCGCAUUGAGAGGAUGUUAGCAUACUACCGCUACCAGAAAGGAUUUAAACGUACCAACAUACACAACUAUUGAGAAGCAACCAAAAGCACAGGGAAAGCCACAGUCUCCUUUACUUUGGACCAACAAGACGUAGCCGAGGAGACGCGGGGGUCACGAGGGUCAAUGGCACAACAAGCUCAAGCUGGAAAAUGAGUCGAGGCCCAAAUUGCACAGACACCGGUUUAAGGGUCUAACAUGUCACAUAAGAGGUCUGGUAAGAUGUGAUGUCAUUCUACCAGAGUGAAAUUAAAGGCUGCAGGCCCCUGUCCAGACUGAUGUAUGGCCUAUUACCCUAUUACUGGACUCGAACUUGAA
Molecule: long non-coding RNA, 569 nt
Organism: Seriola aureovittata
Lineage: Eukaryota; Metazoa; Chordata; Actinopteri; Carangiformes; Carangidae
Exons: 3
Source: RefSeq, a predicted model, not a curated record